This 270-nucleotide RNase P RNA is filed under the name Gammaproteobacteria bacterium. RNAcentral's name for it is "partial RNase P RNA component class A". It matches the Rfam family "Bacterial RNase P class A", at positions 1 to 272 of the family's 367-position model. Rfam says of the family: Ribonuclease P (RNase P) is a ubiquitous endoribonuclease, found in archaea, bacteria and eukarya as well as chloroplasts and mitochondria. Its best characterised activity is the generation of mature 5'-ends of tRNAs by cleaving the 5'-leader elements of precursor-tRNAs. Lineage: Bacteria; Pseudomonadati; Pseudomonadota; Gammaproteobacteria. The record is from RNAcentral.
GGAGUCGGUCAGGCAAUCGCUACAAGCAUCCGGCUUGGAGAGGAAAGUCCGGGCUCCUUCGGACAAGGCGCCAGGUAACGCCUGGGGGGCGCGAGCCCAUGGAAAGUGCCACAGAAAAUAUACCGCCAGCCCCGUCAUGGGGCCGGUAAGGGUGAAAAGGUGUGGUAAGAGCGCACCGCGCGACUGGUAACAGAUCGCGGCACGGUAAACCCCGCCUGGAGCAAGACCAAAUAGGGGAGUAGCAGCAUAGCUGCGCCGCCGGUUCCGAGC